Molecule: ribosomal RNA, 292 nt
Filed under: uncultured prokaryote
Description: partial 16S ribosomal RNA
Source: RNAcentral
CCCUACGGGGCGCACCAGGCAGGUGAUUUUACGUUCCAACAAGUGCGAGAGGACUGCCCGUGCCAAGGCUGAACCUUCUUGGGGAUCUGUGCCAGCGCCCAGUUCAUCCAGCAGCACCAGCGAGCGGUGAUCUGCGCGUUUUAAGAUUUGCACCAACUGGGUGAUGUGCCCUGAAAAGGUCGAAAGAGAUUGCUCGAUGGAAUGCUCAUCGCCACUAUCAGCAAAUACAUCCCGAAAAAGGCUUAAACGUGAACCGGAUAAAGCCGGAAUUUGCAAACCCGAUUGUGCCAUC